This is a long non-coding RNA of Osmia lignaria (orchard mason bee), 2945 nucleotides long. RefSeq lists it as uncharacterized. The record is from RefSeq and is a predicted model, not a curated record. Lineage: Eukaryota; Metazoa; Arthropoda; Insecta; Hymenoptera; Megachilidae.
AUUUACAAAAUUUACUUGUCCUCUCUGAAGAAAUUUUUAAUUCCAAUGAAACGAAAUUUUAUCUUUCAUCUCAAUGAAUCUUUUUGAAAGGUAAUAUAGGAAAUCUGCAUUCAAGGAUUCGUCGAGGCAGGGGAAGGGAUGUAUACGAAGCCUAACGUGUGCUGUUUACUUUGAAGUACUCGAGCAACUAAUUGCCAUGACAAAGGGAGGGAAAUGAAACCGUGCGUGUCACGCAGAAUCAAAUUGGGAUCGCCUGAUUAUUAGAUCCGGCAACUAUAAUCAUAUCAAAAAACAUACAGAAGAAAAAAUUACAUUAUCUGGAGUUCCAAUUAAAGUGUAUACUAAAAGAAUAGCAUUGAUCACAAAUAUUAUUAUAAAACGAUCUGUUCAUUAUUCAGUGAUUAAUCCCUUACUCUAACCAGUCUUCAAACCAGUUGAUUAAACGUGUCUGAGAAAUGUUAGAGGAUCUUACCUGUUGCUGAUACUGCUGAUAAUCAGUGUUCCCCUUGAUCACGGCAGAAACAACGUUCGAAAUGCCGACGACGACGAGUAACAACCUCGUCAAGCGACGAUCAGACCCGACCAAGGACAUGGUUUCUUGAAACGGGAACCGGAAGUUCCUGGACCCACUUGGUAGAAGCGGAGUAGCUGGAUAUUCGUCCUUUCCUUCAGCACCGAAUCUGCUUAUGCGCGAGUGUCGAGUGUCGCUUCAGGACCAACCGGAGAUUGUGUGGCGUCGCGACGCGCGGCGUCCCUCUUAUAGCCGCUAGUCCAGCUCGCGAUUCGUCCACGCUGCGCAUCCCCAAGCACUUGCUGUGUUACACCGACGACGAUAACGGUGAUAACUUUUCAACAGAGAAUUUCUACACGCGGCUCCUCGCCGAGGACCAGGUGUGACGACCUGCUCUAUGACAAUUUGUUCAAAGUCAAUAAGCAGAUGAUACAUCCUCAACUGAUUAAUUGAAUAGAUAAUAGAGAGUACUUUAUAGGAGACAUAGGGCGAAGAGCUGAAUAAAUUGCUGAUGACAGAAUAAUUUGUUGUACAGUAGAACAGCCAUUUCACUGUUCAAAUUACUUAACUCAUUUUCUACUGUAAGUUUCAUUUGGGGAUUUAAGUAGAGUUAAGGGGUUAGGGCACUAUAGAGCAAGAAAUAAUUUGUUGUACAGUAGAAUAUACCAGUGUUUAAACAGCCAUUUCACUGGUAAAAUAACCUAACUCAUUUUCUACUGUAGGUUUCAUUUGGGGAUUUAAGUAGAGUUAAGGGGUUAGGUCACUAUAGAGCAAGAAAUAAUUUGUUGUACUGUAGAAUAUUCCAGUGUUUAAACAGCCAUUUCACUGGUAAAAUAACCUAACUCAUUUUCUACUAUAAGUUUCAUUUGGGGAUUUAAGUAGAAUUAAGGGGUUAGGUCACUAUAGAGCAAGAAGAAAUAGGCAUAUUUUGGGAAUUUUUUUUUUUAAUAAUGGAAUAAAUCCCAAUUCCUAAUAAACUAAUAAACUCUAAAAAUUAAUUUUUGUAUAGUGAUUCAAAUGAAAAUAUGGGCUCUGUAGUAUUUCUUAGAUGAUGCCUAUUUUUUGUAGGGCUAACCAGCUCCUGGAAUUUUUAACUUAGGAUAAAAAACCAAAAUAUUUUCGAUUAUACAUGAGAACAGCUAUCGAACUACGUAGGAUUUUUUUGAUAUAUUGAUUUUUGCAAAAAUGGUAAAAUUUCAAGAAGAAAUCGCCAGAAAAUUGUUUAUAACAAAAGAACUAUGCAAUAUAAUGAAAAAAUCCUACGCAAUUCGGUAGAGAAUUUAGUUUCGAAUAUACUGUUAAAUUUUCAAACCGAUUGGUGAUGAUCUGUUUGAUUUAUGAGUCCGGCCAGUUUGAAAAAUGCGUUUCAGGUUUUCAGUAAUGCUUGUUGCAUACCGGAAGGGGCUGCGGCAGAAUUCGGAAUUCGAGUACUUAGAGUUUUUUCCCACCCAUAAUCUUUUGCCAUAUCAUUUUUAAGACAUUAAGGCACAUUUUAAGGAAAAAAAAAUUUCAAUUUUUUCAAUAAUUCUAGAGUGGCCUAACCCCUUAAGCCCCAUAUAGGAAUUUAAGUAGAAUUAAAAGAAAACCUCAUCUCUAUGGGUUGAUGCACUUUAAUAAUCAUUUAACCAGAGAAGAAAUUCUUUAUACCAUUUUAUUCAACUAAGAUGUCAUAAAUAGAGAAGAAAGUUGGUGCAUUAGGAUUCUGCAUGUCAUUAGCUGAGGGGGAACAUUAUAAAAGAUUGAAAAACAAACUUGCUAGUAUGUAAAUCAAAGGAAAAGUUACCUGGAGAAUAUAAUGACCCCAGGGACCUGGUAUACUGUAUUAAAAGAAAAAAGGCACUAUGCAACAAGAAAGCGAGCCUGCGAGUGCACUCGAAACGUUUCGCCACAGCAAAACUGAUAACAAGGCAGAGGUAUACGUUCUGGCUGUGAAACAAAACGAGCGGAAGGGACGAGUCAAGACUCGUGCUUGGUGUUCAUUGUGUUCGUCUUGAAGAGGCCACGGAAUCAGUACAAUUUAUUUUUUAAUAUAUGCAAACUACGACACUUGGCAGAAACACGAAAUCAGCUAUAUAGGUCAUCAUCUUAUGAGCGUAGAAUUAAAUAAGGAGCAUUUACAGCUACCGUUAACUCAUCGCCUCUUUUAUCUUCUAAAAUGAUAACAAACGAGGUGCAAUAGAAAUUUACCUCCUGCAGGUGCAGAACAACGGCCUCAGAGAUGAGCCAAUAGGGAGAACAAUGAACAAUCUUGUUCAGAAAUAGCGACACUGCUAGACGUAUAUAUAAUCACUUUGUAAAUGAUAGAAUACGAGAAAAUGAAAUUCAACAGUGGAAUUCAUUCUGGACACUUUGAAUGAAAAUAUUCUUUAUUUCAUAUUUCUGCAGAAAACGUAUAUUCUGCUAUGCUAAAUUAAUACUGUAAUAUUUUUAUUAU